Homo sapiens (human) is the source of this 1019-nucleotide non-coding RNA. Lineage: Eukaryota; Metazoa; Chordata; Mammalia; Primates; Hominidae. The record is from the annotation of a RefSeq genome assembly.
CAUCCCCGACCAGCCCCAAGGUCUUCCCGCUGAGCCUCGACAGCACCCCCCAAGAUGGGAACGUGGUCGUCGCAUGCCUGGUCCAGGGCUUCUUCCCCCAGGAGCCACUCAGUGUGACCUGGAGCGAAAGCGGACAGAACGUGACCGCCAGAAACUUCCCACCUAGCCAGGAUGCCUCCGGGGACCUGUACACCACGAGCAGCCAGCUGACCCUGCCGGCCACACAGUGCCCAGACGGCAAGUCCGUGACAUGCCACGUGAAGCACUACACGAAUUCCAGCCAGGAUGUGACUGUGCCCUGCCUUCCCCCACCUCCCCCAUGCUGCCACCCCCGACUGUCGCUGCACCGACCGGCCCUCGAGGACCUGCUCUUAGGUUCAGAAGCGAACCUCACGUGCACACUGACCGGCCUGAGAGAUGCCUCUGGUGCCACCUUCACCUGGACGCCCUCAAGUGGGAAGAGCGCUGUUCAAGGACCACCUGAGCGUGACCUCUGUGGCUGCUACAGCGUGUCCAGUGUCCUGCCUGGCUGUGCCCAGCCAUGGAACCAUGGGGAGACCUUCACCUGCACUGCUGCCCACCCCGAGUUGAAGACCCCACUAACCGCCAACAUCACAAAAUCCGGAAACACAUUCCGGCCCGAGGUCCACCUGCUGCCGCCGCCGUCGGAGGAGCUGGCCCUGAACGAGCUGGUGACGCUGACGUGCCUGGCACGUGGCUUCAGCCCCAAGGAUGUGCUGGUUCGCUGGCUGCAGGGGUCACAGGAGCUGCCCCGCGAGAAGUACCUGACUUGGGCAUCCCGGCAGGAGCCCAGCCAGGGCACCACCACCUACGCUGUAACCAGCAUACUGCGCGUGGCAGCUGAGGACUGGAAGAAGGGGGAGACCUUCUCCUGCAUGGUGGGCCACGAGGCCCUGCCGCUGGCCUUCACACAGAAGACCAUCGACCGCAUGGCGGGUAAACCCACCCACAUCAAUGUGUCUGUUGUCAUGGCGGAGGCGGAUGGCACCUGCUACUGA